RNAcentral lists this ribosomal RNA (474 nucleotides) under uncultured organism. Its description in RNAcentral is "partial 16S ribosomal RNA". It matches the Rfam family "Bacterial small subunit ribosomal RNA", at positions 331 to 797 of the family's 1533-position model. The record is from RNAcentral.
GUACACUCCUACGGGAGGCAGCAGUGGGGAAUAUUGCACAAUGGGCGCAAGCCUGAUGCAGCCAUGCCGCGUGUAUGAAGAAGGCCUUCGGGUUGUAAAGUACUUUCAGCGGGGAGGAAGGCGAUAAGGUUAAUAACCUUGUUGAUUGACGUUACCCGCAGAAGAAGCACCGGCUAACUCCGUGCCAGCAGCCGCGGUAAUACGGAGGGGGCAAGCGUUAAUCGGAAUUACUGGGCGUAAAGCGCACGCAGGCGGUCUGUCAAGUCGGAUGUGAAAUCCCCGGGCUCAACCUGGGAACUGCAUUCGAAACUGGCAGGCUAGAGUCUUGUAGAGGGGGGUAGAAUUCCAGGUGUAGCGGUGAAAUGCGUAGAGAUCUGGAGGAAUACCGGUGGCGAAGGCGGCCCCCUGGACAAAGACUGACGCUCAGGUGCGAAAGCGUGGGGAGCAAACAGGAUUAGAAACCCGGGUAGUCCC